Molecule: transfer RNA, 67 nt
Filed under: Histeroidea sp. 2 KM-2017
Lineage: Eukaryota; Metazoa; Arthropoda; Insecta; Coleoptera
Description: tRNA-Trp
Source: RNAcentral
AAGGACUUAAGUUAAACAAACUGUUAACCUUCAAAGUUGGAAAUAAAGUAUGUAUCUUUAGGCCUUA